RNAcentral lists this ribosomal RNA (466 nucleotides) under uncultured bacterium. RNAcentral's name for it is "partial 16S ribosomal RNA". It matches the Rfam family "Bacterial small subunit ribosomal RNA", at positions 28 to 507 of the family's 1533-position model. The record is from RNAcentral.
GACGAACGCUGGCGGCGUGCUUAACACAUGCAAGUCGAACGGUAAGGCUCCAGCUUGCUGGGAUACACGAGUGGCGAACGGGUGAGUAACACGUGGGUGACCUGCCCUGCACUUCGGGAUAAGCCUGGGAAACUGGGUCUAAUACCGGAUAGGACCAUGGUGUGGAUACUGUGGUGGAAAGUUUUUUCGGUGUGGGAUGGGCCCGCGGCCUAUCAGCUUGUUGGUGGGGUAAUGGCCUACCAAGGCGGCGACGGGUAGCCGGCCUGCGAGGGUGGACGGCCACAUUGGGACUGAGACACGGCCCAGACUCCUACGGGAGGCAGCAGUGGGGAAUAUUGCACAAUGGGCGGAAGCCUGAUGCAGCGACGCCGCGUGGGGGAUGACGGCCUUCGGGUUGUAAACUCCUUUCACCAUCGACGAAGGGUUUCUGACGGUAGAUGGAGAAGAAGCACCGGCUAACUACGUG